Olea europaea var. sylvestris is the source of this 1617-nucleotide long non-coding RNA. RefSeq lists it as uncharacterized. NCBI's taxonomy places the organism in Eukaryota, Viridiplantae, Streptophyta, Magnoliopsida, Lamiales, Oleaceae. The transcript is spliced from 2 exons. The record is from RefSeq and is a predicted model, not a curated record.
CAUAAAAGUAUAUCACUUGGCAAUAUCAAAAUUAUACUUUUACCCACAUAUUUGAUCUCAUGACAACAGACAAAAAUCAUCGUUACAACCGAGACAUGAACCUAACACUUCAUAUUCUAGAAAUCCAAUAUUGGGUGAUGUUAAUUUAUAAAGAUUUGGAGCCAUGAACGAAAGUAAAGUUCUCUGGUCCCUCGAACAAAUUGGAUUCUUUGUUUCAUUUGUAGCCCAUGUGAAAUACAAACAAGACUGUAGCCAUAUUCUCCCUGUAGUAUUGAUACACAGAUAUUAUUUGGACUAAUCUGGUGGGGUAUUAAAUUAAAGGAUACAAUGAAAGUGCAUCACUCUUUUACCUCAACUUGGAACAUCAAAAGCAAAGAAUCAGUCCCUUCAUACAUUUUCAAUGUGAGGCUUCUGUAUUUCUUGGACUUAUCCCUUCAACUUACUACAUCGAACCUAAUAACUAUGUACAACAAUAAACCUAGUUUUAUUCUCAAUAAACAAAGAGUCUCCAUCUACACAAAACCAUUUUCCCACUCUGUGAAGUACCAAAAAAACGUAGGAAUACGUUUUUGUCAUAAGGGUCACUGGUCUGGUCUUUUGUUUAGAAGACAAAAGCAGAGCAAAUGAUAGAGAUGUGAGGAAGCAAUGAAAAGAUGCUUAGCUUCUUGAGGGUCUUGUUCCAAUUACCUUUAUUCAUCUUACUCAGAUUCUUUUAUAACACUUUGCUUAGAUUUGCAUAUUUAUGAUAGAGGUGAAUCUAAAACUCUAUUAAGAUAUUGUCUUAUGAUAUAUAUCAAGGAAUGGAACAUAGGAACUCAAGGACACCACCAUAUCUUUUAGUAUUCUUAACAUAAGAGACAUUUUCAUUCCUCUUCUUCCCUCAAGAAAGUCAUGGUUCUUUAUGUUUAUAGGGCAUUUUUAUUAUUCAUCUGUCUAGGAUUAUUAGUGUUUCAUCCAAUUGAAGUUUGUGGCUUGACAAGUAUAGAUCUUGCUCUUAGACGAAGUAAAGAUCAUCAGCUGAUGGUAAAGAAUCAGAGCAUCAGUAUACGUAUACUCGAAGCAGUUGUCAUGAAGGGCAGGAAUACAGAUAAGAAACCAGCACCUCUAAAUCAGACAUUUGAUCCAUACCGAAUGAGAAAAAGAAGAGUUCCAAGAGGAUCAGAUCCGAUCCAUAACAAGGCUUGAUAUAAACAAGGCAUCUCUUUGCCAUAAGACGAGCAAGGCAGUUGAAAACAAUUGGAGAGUACAAAGGACAAGAUUUCUCAACUGUCCAUCAAAACCAGAGGAAGAACAGACCAGAAUAUAGUUUGUUUUCAACUUUUCAAGAUAUGAUCAGUGUGGCUUCAUUAUUUCUUGGGUUUCUCCCAGAUAAGACUUAAGAGGGUGCUUUGUUUUCCUUAUUCCCAUUCUAAUGCCAGUCUUUUUAUCGCUGAACAUUUGAAAAAUGUUUGCUAUACAGUACUAAACGAGAUUGGAUAGGUGUAAUGGACAACAUUCUUUUUCUUUUUUUCUUUUUUAGCUUUCUAUUGUUCCUAGAUAUUGUUUGGUACUGUGUAAUCUGCCUUAUUGGGGUUUUUUAUUCCUUAAUUAUUAUUAUUAAAACAUUUCUCCCCAAAA